GGACCCAGGAGAGAGGACAUUGGAGGGCAUCCCCAACACCUUGGUCUGGCAUCUCAGCCUUGGUUCUGGGAGACGACCUCUGUUCAUCAUGACGUGAGCCGGGAUCUGCUCAGUCUCUUUAUGCUGCGAUCCUUCCCGAGACUCUCCCUACUGACCCGGGUGAACAUCUGUUCUGUUACUGAGGCACCAUAUUGGAUGUUACAAUCUUGUUAAAUCCUCAGGACAACUGUGUCAAGACCUCUGUGAUGUGCAGAAUGACCAGGCUUACACAACUCCAGGUCACUUCCCUGGAAAGUCUCUUCCUUGAGUCUCCACCUCCUAAGAGGACACCCACCGUGUAGUCAGGGUGCCAUUCUCAUGAAUGCAUUUCACCUGGAUUGCUUUCAGAGAGGCCCCAUCUCCAUGCACAGAGGCCUGCUGAGGUACUGACGAGCCCUUCCACAGCAUAUGUGAAGAAACAUUUGAGUUACCACCAUGUGAAAGGAGGUUUUCACUUGUACCAUUCUGGAGUGAGGUACAGGUUCUGGGCUGGGCAAUGACAACAGCAGUCACCCAGGCCUCAAUUGCCUUGCUGCCUUAGUUUGUCUUUCUGUUGACUUGUUUCUGCUGAAUAAAGGAGACAGGUAUC
This is a long non-coding RNA of Mesocricetus auratus (golden hamster), 628 nucleotides long. RefSeq lists it as uncharacterized. The record is from RefSeq and is a predicted model, not a curated record. NCBI's taxonomy places the organism in Eukaryota, Metazoa, Chordata, Mammalia, Rodentia, Cricetidae. The transcript is spliced from 3 exons.